UAACCAGCAAACAUCUUCAAUGAAUUUGAGGAUAUCACAAAAUACAGAAGAAUGCAACCCGGAGAAGUUUUGGAAGACAGAAUCAUUUGGCAUUGAACCUAUUGACGAGAGGACAGGGAGAAGGAAAGUAUUAGAUUCAUAUCAGAAGACAAGUAACCAUAACAACAGUCAUUUCGAUGCUGUAUCCCGGAAAGAUGACCACACACCUUCACCAGUGAACAAAGAGAUUUCAAAAUUGAGAAAAGAAAAUGUUAUUAAAAGACUUAAAAAGGAACCGCAAUUAUUAUAUCCACUAGAACUGACAACAAAAGAAUAUAUAGGACCGUGAUCAAAUACUGCCC
RNAcentral lists this long non-coding RNA (341 nucleotides) under Mytilus galloprovincialis (Mediterranean mussel). Lineage: Eukaryota; Metazoa; Mollusca; Bivalvia; Mytilida; Mytilidae. The record is from RNAcentral.